AUUGAACGCUGGCGGCAUGCUUUACACAUGCAAGUCGAACGGUAACAGGCCUUCGGGUGCUGACGAGUGGCGAACGGGUGAGUAAUGCAUCGGAACGUGCCCAGAGGUGGGGGAUAACGCAGCGAAAGCUGUGCUAAUACCGCAUGUGAUCUGAGGAUGAAAGCGGGGGACCAGGCAGCAAUGUUUGGCCUCGCGCCUUUGGAGCGGCCGAUGUCAGAUUAGGUAGUUGGUGGGGUAAAGGCCUACCAAGCCGACGAUCUGUAGCUGGUCUGAGAGGACGACCAGCCACACUGGGACUGAGACACGGCCCAGACUCCUACGGGAGGCAGCAGUGGGGAAUUUUGGACAAUGGGCGCAAGCCUGAUCCAGCAAUGCCGCGUGCGGGAAGAAGGCCUUCGGGUCGUAAACCGCUUUUGUACGGAACGAAAAGGCUCUGGCUAAUACCUGGGGCUGAUGACGGUACCGUAAGAAUAAGCACCGGCUAACUACGUG
RNAcentral lists this ribosomal RNA (492 nucleotides) under uncultured bacterium. Its description in RNAcentral is "partial 16S ribosomal RNA". It matches the Rfam family "Bacterial small subunit ribosomal RNA", at positions 30 to 507 of the family's 1533-position model. The record is from RNAcentral.